UCAGUUUCUUCUCAAAGAAGUUUGGAAGAAGUUGAUUUCAAUCCUCAUGGGUGACUUUGACGGAUUCAAGACUUCAGUGGAGGAAGUAACCUCAGAUGUGGUGGAAAGAGAGAGAGAACUGGAACUAGAAGUGGGGCCUGAGGAUGUGACUGAAUUGCUGCAAUCCUGUGAUCAACCUUGAAAGAAUGAGGAGUUGCUUCUUAUGAAUUAGCAAAGAAAGUGGUUUCUUGAGAUGGGAUUUACUCUUAGUGAAG
Molecule: long non-coding RNA, 254 nt
Organism: Sapajus apella (tufted capuchin)
Lineage: Eukaryota; Metazoa; Chordata; Mammalia; Primates; Cebidae
Exons: 3
Source: RefSeq, a predicted model, not a curated record